Molecule: ribosomal RNA, 403 nt
Filed under: Verrucomicrobiota bacterium
Lineage: Bacteria; Pseudomonadati; Verrucomicrobiota
Description: Verrucomicrobia bacterium partial 16S ribosomal RNA
Rfam family: Bacterial small subunit ribosomal RNA
Source: RNAcentral
UGGGGAAUAUUGCACAAUGGGCGCAAGCCUGAUGCAGCAACGCCGCGUGAACGAUGAAGGUCUUCGGAUCGUAAAGUUCUGUUGCAGGGGAAGAUAAUGACGGUACCCUGUGAGGAAGCCCCGGCUAACUACUUGCCAGCAGCCGCGGUAAUACGUAGGGGGCUAGCGUUAUCCGGAUUUACUGGGCGUAAAGGGUGCGUAGGUGGUCUUUCAAGUCGGUGGUUAAAGGCUACGGCUCAACCGUAGUUAGCCUCCGAAACUGGAAGAAUUGAGUGCAGGAGAGGAAAGUGGAAUUCCCAGUGUAGCGGUGAAAUGCGUAGAUAUUGGGAGGAACACCAGUAGCGAAGGCGGCUUUCUGGAAUGAAACUGAAACUGAGGCACGAAAGCGUGGGUAGCAAACAGG